CAGCAGCCACGGUAAUACGUAGGUGGCAAGCGUUGUCCGGAAUUAUUGGGCGUAAAGGGCUCGCAGGCGGUUUCUUAAGUCUGAUGUGAAAGCCCCCGGCUCAACCGGGGAGGGUCAUUGGAAACUGGGAAACUUGAGUGCAGAAGAGGAGAGUGGAAUUCCACGUGUAGUGGUGAAAUGCGUAGAGAUGUGGAGGAACACCAGUGGCGAAGGCGACUCUCUGGUCUGUAACUGACGCUGAGGAGCGAAAGCGUGGGGAGCGAACAGGAUUAGAGACCCGAGUAGUCCCUGUCUCUUAUAC
This 301-nucleotide ribosomal RNA is filed under the name uncultured bacterium. Its description in RNAcentral is "partial 16S ribosomal RNA". It matches the Rfam family "Bacterial small subunit ribosomal RNA", at positions 509 to 807 of the family's 1533-position model. The record is from RNAcentral.